Molecule: ribosomal RNA, 158 nt
Filed under: uncultured bacterium
Lineage: Bacteria
Description: partial 16S ribosomal RNA
Rfam family: Bacterial small subunit ribosomal RNA
Source: RNAcentral
CGGGAGGCAGCAGUGAGGAAUAUUGGGCAAUGGAGGCAACUCUGACCCAGCCAUGCCGCGUGCAGGAAGACGGCCCUAUGGGUUGUAAACUGCUUUUAUGACGGGAAGAAACCCAACUACCGCCACGUUGCGUCGCGCGAGCCGUGAGAAUCAGCGCC